ACGCUGGCGGCGUGCCUAAUACAUGCAAGUCGAACGAGAGCGACCGGUGCUUGCACUGGUCAAUCUAGUGGCGAACGGGUGAGUAACACGUGGGUAACCUGCCCAUCAGAGGGGGAUAACAUUCGGAAACGGAUGCUAAAACCGCAUAGGUCCUUUAACCGCAUGGUUGAAGGAGGAAAAGAGGCGCAAGCUUCUGCUGAUGGAUGGACCCGCGGUGCAUUAGCUAGUUGGUGAGGUAACGGCUCACCAAGGCCGUGAUGCAUAGCCGACCUGAGAGGGUGAUCGGCCACAUUGGGACUGAGACACGGCCCAAACUCCUACGGGAGGCAGCAGUAGGGAAUCUUCCGCAAUGGACGCAAGUCUGACGGAGCAACGCCGCGUGAGUGAAGAAGGUUUUCGGAUCGUAAAACUCUGUUGUUAGAGAAGAACAAGUGCUAGAGUAACUGUUAGCGCCUUGACGGUAUCUAACCAGAAAGCCACGGCUAACUACGUGCCAGCAGCCGCGGUAAUACGUAGGUGGCAAGCGUUGUCCGGAUUUAUUGGGCGUAAAGCGAGCGCAGGCGGUUCCUUAAGUCUGAUGUGAAAGCCCCCGGCUCAACCGGGGAGGGUCAUUGGAAACUGGGGAACUUGAGUGCAGAAGAGGAGAGUGGAAUUCCAUGUGUAGCGGUGAAAUGCGUAGAUAUAUGGAGGAACACCAGUGGCGAAGGCGACUCUCUGGUCUGUAACUGACGCUGAGGCUCGAAAGCGUGGGUAGCAAACAGGAUUAGAUACCCUGGUAGUCCACGCCGUAAACGAUGAGUGCUAAGUGUUGGAGGGUUUCCGCCCUUCAGUGCUGCAGUUAACGCAUUAAGCACUCCGCCUGGGGAGUACGACCGCAAGGUUGAAACUCAAAGGAAUUGACGGGGACCCGCACAAGCGGUGGAGCAUGUGGUUU
This 934-nucleotide ribosomal RNA is filed under the name uncultured bacterium. RNAcentral's name for it is "bacterial SSU rRNA". It matches the Rfam family "Bacterial small subunit ribosomal RNA", at positions 33 to 947 of the family's 1533-position model. The record is from RNAcentral.